GAAACAAGAAAACUAAGAAGAAGAGAUAGCACCAAGCUUAUCCCCAAUUCAGUACUAUCGCAUUAUGGCAUUUUUUUCUCCUCUCCCAUCCUCCUUAUACUACCCCAAGAUACCAACUCCUAUACUAUAGAUGAUAACUACUUUUCUUGACUAUUCAUCCAUUUUACCUACUGAACCACCUUUUCAGCAGUUAUCUAUCCCUAUUUACACUAUACACUAGAUAUCUACAUUCUGAAAAUAAUUACUUAUUCUACAUAGCUCCACUCCUAACUAUGCAGUGUCCUCGCAAACACUUAAUUGAUACCUAUCUAAAAAUUAUCUAACAAAUCUCCAUAAAAAUUACUAGUUCCUCUAGCUUAUCUAAUUAAUCAAUUGCCA
This 378-nucleotide long non-coding RNA is filed under the name Physcomitrium patens. RNAcentral's name for it is "long non-coding RNA (PPAT_LNC008057)". Lineage: Eukaryota; Viridiplantae; Streptophyta; Bryopsida; Funariales; Funariaceae. The record is from RNAcentral.